This 253-nucleotide ribosomal RNA is filed under the name uncultured bacterium. RNAcentral describes it as "partial 16S ribosomal RNA". It matches the Rfam family "Bacterial small subunit ribosomal RNA", at positions 524 to 776 of the family's 1533-position model. The record is from RNAcentral.
UACAGAGGUCUCAAGCGUUGUUCGGAUUCAUUGGGCGUAAAGGGUGUGUAGGUGGCGCGCUAAGUCGGGUGUGAAAUUUCGGAGCUUAACUCCGAAACUGCAUUCGAUACUGACGUGCUUGAGGACUGGAGAGGAGACUGGAAUUCAUGGUGUAGCAGUGAAAUGCGUAGAGAUCAUGAGGAAGACCAGUGGCGAAGGCGGGUCUCUGGACAGUUCCUGACACUGAGACACGAAGGCCAGGGGAGCAAACGGG